AAAGCACCAACACCCGCUCAGAUACCAAUCACACCGCGCCUCCACGCUAUGCUCACAGGCCUUCUCUGCUUAGACUGCUCUUGGCAGGGCCACUGCUUCAACCCAGCGGGCUCGGGCCUGGGGUAUGGUUUACAGGCAGUUACUGUCACCAGCGGCGGUGAGGAACCUACAGCCUGGCUGGAUUCUAGAGUACAGGCCUCAAGCCAGAGGAAGUGAAGGGUCUGGUGGCCUCUGGACAGCUCUCCCCUCCGUGUGCCUGAAUGUAUCUGGAAGCCAUCAGAGACAACCAGCCCCAGUUCAUCAUCCAGAGAAGAGGGCUUACAGCAGACCAAGUCUCAGACCAAACACCCCUCUUGCAGGUGUUUCCCAAACUCAUGUGAUCAUGAGACUCAGGGAGGUUCCUUAAUUCCACCUGGGGGUUGUGAGGUGGGGCCGAGGGCUUGU
This is a long non-coding RNA of Bubalus bubalis (water buffalo), 444 nucleotides long. RefSeq lists it as uncharacterized. NCBI's taxonomy places the organism in Eukaryota, Metazoa, Chordata, Mammalia, Artiodactyla, Bovidae. The record is from RefSeq and is a predicted model, not a curated record. The transcript has 2 exons.